RNAcentral lists this long non-coding RNA (1819 nucleotides) under Calidris pugnax (ruff). RNAcentral describes it as "lncRNA (ENSCPUG00000019476.1)". The record is from RNAcentral. Lineage: Eukaryota; Metazoa; Chordata; Aves; Charadriiformes; Scolopacidae.
AACUGCAUUAUGAAUUUCCUUUGCAUGCUCUGGCUUAGCAAAAAGGUCUCUCCUAGAGCUCCCGAGACUCCAUCCCCUUGGAUAUUCCACUGUCCCCCGUGCUAUUGGAAAAUGCCAUUACAAAAUGGCACCAUUUUGAAUAAUUUUAUUUGUCAGGUGCAUUUCAGCUGGAGAAUGGUGAUGGCUUGAGAGACCACGGAGAUUUUUCCCUGGGAGCUGAGAUUCAGUGUGGUGUUUGAACAGAUCAGGUGUCUACGGCAAACCAGGUGAGACACCAGCUCCAAGUUGGCAAGGACCUUUCCAGGGAACACUGCCCGUCCCCCUGAGCGUGGAGGAGCCAACAGUCCCAAGGAGCACGUGUUGCACAGGCAGGAACAAACUCGUAUGGACUUGAAAACGCCUUCGUGGCCUUUGCAGCGCAACAAAAACACGUUGCUUUGGCACCAGGUAACUCCCAAGAGCUGCAGGUUGACCCCGCUGUGGGAUGUGCUCGGGGAUGAGCCAGGAGCUGCUCCAAGGACUCAAGGGACUCGUCGAGACCCAGCUCCAGCCCCAGCCUGUGGUCCUUCCACAGGUUUCUGCUCUCUCUGCUGUCAAGCCAAGUGACCACAUCACUUCUCCAACUGGUGCCGGACUAAUUUUGGCCUGACAGUGGAGGUGAAAAAUGAGUUGUCUCUUCUCUGCACAGCUGCACUCUGAUCUCGUUAUGAUUUCAUCUGUAUUUCUAGAAAUUUAGACGUUUCCUGAAAUAUCCCACUAUGCAAUGUCUUUGUGGCUCUUCAGCAUCCCCACCGGUUCCUACCACUCAACCUGUUUGUUAAAAUUGGCCAAACAUUACAUAAAGGCUAAGACAGUUUUCAUCGGCUGCAAUUUGGUCAUUUUGGUGUUGUGUUAAGUGAGUUCAGCUAAAGGGUGUUUUAACGACCACAAACUAAACUAACCUUCCAAGAAAGGUCCGUGGGCAAGGGUGGGAAGUUGCAAGAACCAUGAGGUAGCUGCUAGGAGAAUGCAGACAGAUGUCAGAGACAUUUCUCUAUUUGUAAACAAACAAACAGCCUGACACCCAAAUCAGGCCAGUCUGGUGGAAAAUAUCAAAGUCAUGACCUCCAUCAAAUGAAAGAAAACAGAUUACACAGCUGUGGUACUCACUGUUUUCCGUAUCUUUGGGUAGGUCGUGCUGGUUUUACGAGGUUCUCCAGGGGAGCUGAACUGAAGUGACUACUUUGGGUUCCAGUGAGGGUUGUUUUUUUUUUUUUUAUUUCAGCAUCACCAUCUGAAAAGGGUGGUUUUGUUUUCUUUCUGGUAAUCUUCUCUGGUUUUAUGUCCGCUCCAUAAUUUCCCUUCUUUUUGUUUUUUGUUUUGUUUUGGGUUUUUUUUACUUCUCCCUGUUCUCUUCCUUUCCUUUCUCUAUUUUACCAUUUCCAUUUACUUUUCCCCUCUUCAGCUCUAAAUCCCUUAGAGCUCUACAUUUGCACUCCUUAAAACUAAGUCCUUAACCCACCACUGCUAUUUGCACACACAUUUGUUCAAGCAGUUGAGCUUAAUAUGCCACUUCUCAUUCACUGAAUCCUAUUCCCCAGCUGCAAACAGGCCCGUAGCCUAUUGCAAAUAUAUAUAAAAAAAAAAUAGAUAUUUUGCGCUAGCCUUUCAUGUGGCUGAAUUAAUUUAUUAGAUAAGAUAACUUGACCAGCUGCAAUUCCUAGCCUUACCUUUAGCUCUGCUGAGGAACAGUCCCAUUGUGCUACGGCCCCAUCGCUAUCAGCCAGGCACAGACUGUAAGUGCCACAGCAUUGGAGAAAUAAACAGUUAUGAGGAUGCA